RNAcentral lists this ribosomal RNA (170 nucleotides) under uncultured archaeon. Its description in RNAcentral is "partial 16S ribosomal RNA". It matches the Rfam family "Archaeal small subunit ribosomal RNA", at positions 468 to 637 of the family's 1478-position model. The record is from RNAcentral.
CGGUAACACCGGCGGCUCGAGUGGUAACCGUUAUUAUUGGGUCUAAAGGGUCUGUAGCCGGCCGGAUAAGUCUCUUGGGAAAUCUGGCAGCUUAACUGUCAGGCUUUCAGGAGAUACUGUCUGGCUCGAGGCCGGGAGAGGUGAGAGGUACUUCAGGGGUAGGGGUGAAA